UAUACUCAAGUGUAUAGAUGCACAGGAAAUUUUGAUUUUUCAAGGGAUGGUUUAAAUCCAUUAAGUAUAA
This 70-nucleotide transfer RNA is filed under the name Brachymna tenuis. RNAcentral's name for it is "tRNA-Gln". Lineage: Eukaryota; Metazoa; Arthropoda; Insecta; Hemiptera; Pentatomidae. The record is from RNAcentral.